CCUAAACAUGAGAGAAGAGCCAAAGAGAAACAGUGAGACGUCGGGUGGGCACUGCCUGGCGGGGGCCGGGUGAGUUUUGGUCGGCAGGGCUACAGAGGACACCCGGUAGGACCAGACUAUGGAGAAUGAAGCCUUGACGGAUGGGGAGAGCUGGAGGAUGGCUCUUUCCUACGCUGCCCACUAACGCAACAUCAGCACCUGUCUCCACGCCUCAGACCCUGCUCUCUGUGCUGAGCCACUGAAGAUUGGCUGGUUUGGGUUCACAAGGAAACAGCAAAUGCCGUCAGGACUAUAAAUAUCCUGAGCAGUCUUCCCCGACCUCACACACCGUUAGCAGUGCCGAAAGUGGUUUUCAGCGAGGAGAAAAAGCCUCAGCCACCUGGGCAUGGCCCCCUCUGCUCACUGAAACCUCUUCCAUCCCUCUUUCCCAUGCUACGUUUGGCUGGAGGUAUUUUGUAAAGAAACCAUCUCCUAACUUGUCGGCAAGUUUGCUACCCAAUGCCUCCGGCUACUCUGAAGAGAGGCAUUUCUAAUUUAGCUCACGGCCACUGGGAAAGGGAAAAGAACUUGGAAAAUGAUAUCAAGUUGCUCAUACCUCUCUCCCUCACUCUACUUCAGUGGGGUUGACACACAGCUGCCCUACAACAAGUCCUCCUGCUCCUGGGCUGGGAAAAGGCGAGAGUUCUGGACCAGUGUGCCCAGAGGGGAUCAGGAAUUUAGAUAUGGGCAGAAGGCCAGCCUGUGAACAGGGGCUCAGAGAGCCACUGCUUUCAUCCACUGGCUUUCUUAGAACUGAUGGGGGAUGGAGCCUGAGGACCAAGUCCAUGGACUAAUGCUAGCACCAGGCAGUCAGGGUAUCAUUCUUAAGGCCUCUGCAUAUAUUUCUGUUUUUCAGACAGAGUCUCACUAUGUAGUCCCAGUCUUGAAUUUGUGGUCUUCCUGUCUCUACGUGUGGGAUUACAGGUCUACGCUGCUUCUACUCUUGGGACCCAGAGAUGGUGGCCAUGGCAGCUAUGGGAUCACAGCCCACUCCUGAUUCUGAAAGAAGUAAGUGGCAUUUAGGAGCCAGAGAAUGCUUUGUUGUUUUCUGCAGAGCUCUCUGCUUGCUCCCCAGUGUGUGUCCUCAGAUUUCCUCCUCUGAGGAGGUAAACUUGAGGCAUGGGGCAGAUGGGCUCGCACUGUCCCUUCCCCUCUGCAGGCCACCUGCAGCUGAGAAGAGGCCCUCUCCUGGCAUUCCCCUCUGAGGAUCUUGUCUGCCCUUCCUAGUAGAGCCCGUGGCUUCCAUCUCUAGGGUGGAACUCAGCAGCAUCCUUGAGUGUGGAAGCACAAUGUCUCUGAAACUGUCAGACCAAGGAGAUCAAAUACGAAAGUGUUGCCAAAUCCAAGGCAGUCGUGAUGGCGCCUGAGAACUUCCUUCUUCUCCAGCCCCUGGGGACCUCAGAGCUCCUGCCAUCCCUAAAUAAGAUGCUGCACAGAUAGAUCCCGGCCGUGAUGAAUGAAUGAGGGUAUGGACAGAUGGAUGGAGGGGCAGAGGAUGGGAAAGCAGGUGAUCUCAGCAGCAACACAGCUGUAUUGUCAGGGACUACGCAUGCUGGGCAGGGAUCCCCAUGGAGGCAGGCCCUGGAGGUCUGCACACAUCCUCAGAACUGUCUGGCCCUGCACAGCCCUUCCCUGAGAGGGUGGGGGGCAAGGUCGUGGAGGCACUAAUAACUCCUCUGCUGUCUUUGUUACCCUACUGUAAUACUGCAGGUGCCCGCACCGCAAUGUGCUCCCUAGGGGAAUUUACAAGGCCCAGGUCAUUAAUUUACUUAAGGGGGUGGGGCUUCACUUCGGGACCUUGAAUGUCACAUCCCGAAUGUUGGGAAUCUUAAUGUCCCAAUUUAUAUUUUGCUCAUAAACAGUAUACAUACUUCAAAUUCUGCAGACAGGCAGAAUUGAAGUCCUAAAUCUUACUUGGCCCCGGCUCGAGAAUGGAAUGGCUGCUACUUCUGCUAUAUUUUCUAGACCUUCCUUUCCUCUCCUCUCCAACCCUCUAAAGGAGAAGUGAGAGGUGGGGCUGUCCCUGCGAGCUUUCUCCCCGAUGCUAAACAGUCUCAGUGUUCCCUAGGUGCUCACUGGGAGGGGGUUUCACCUUUGUGGGGGCCCCUGACUUUGGCUUUGUACACUGGCCUACGGGAAGUCCCGCAUAAAAGCCCAGAGAUGUAAAUACACUCCUGACAGCUCCCGUCCUCCCCUUGCCAGCUGCCGUGGAGAUCCAGAUGCUGACCUGGCUGAAAGAGAAUACUGUGUUGGCGUCUCCUGAUGCAGAGUUAAAUGCUUGUUAAAGAAAAAAGAGUCUUGGCCGUU
This is a non-coding RNA of Myodes glareolus (Bank vole), 2346 nucleotides long. NCBI's taxonomy places the organism in Eukaryota, Metazoa, Chordata, Mammalia, Rodentia, Cricetidae. The record is from RefSeq and is a predicted model, not a curated record.